This 429-nucleotide ribosomal RNA is filed under the name Bacillota bacterium. RNAcentral describes it as "Firmicutes bacterium partial 16S ribosomal RNA". It matches the Rfam family "Bacterial small subunit ribosomal RNA", at positions 355 to 776 of the family's 1533-position model. The record is from RNAcentral. Lineage: Bacteria; Bacillati; Bacillota.
UGGGGAAUUUUGGACAAUGGGGGCAACCCUGAUCCAGCAAUGCCGCGUGUGUGAAGAAGGCCUUCGGGUUGUAAAGCACUUUUGUCCGGGAAGAAAUCGCACCUGAUAAUACCGGGUGUGGAUGACGGUACCGGAAGAAUAAGGACCGGCUAACUACGUGCCAGCAGCCGCGGUAAUACGUAGGGUCCAAGCGUUAAUCGGAAUUACUGGGCGUAAAGCGUUCGCAGGCGGUUGUUCAAGACCGAUGUGAAAUCCCCGGGCUUAACCUGGGAAUUGCAUUGGUGACUGCACGGCUAGAGUGUGUCAGAGGGGGGUAGAAUUCCACGUGUAGCAGUGAAAUGCGUAGAGAUGUGGAGGAAUACCGAUGGCGAAGGCAGCCCCCUGGGAUAACACUGACGCUCAUGCACGAAAGCGUGGGGAGCAAACAGG